UGGGGAAUUUUGGACAAUGGGCGAAAGCCUGAUCCAGCAAUGCCGCGUGUGUGAAGAAGGCCUUCGGGUUGUAAAGCACUUUUGUCCGGAAAGAAAUCCUUGGCUCUAAUACAGUCGGGGGAUGACGGUACCGGAAGAAUAAGCACCGGCUAACUACGUGCCAGCAGCCGCGGUAAUACGUAGGGUGCAAGCGUUAAUCGGAAUUACUGGGCGUAAAGCGUGCGCAGGCGGUUUGCUAAGACCGAUGUGAAAUCCCCGGGCUCAACCUGGGAACUGCAUUGGUGACUGGCAGGCUAGAGUAUGGCAGAGGGGGGUAGAAUUCCACGUGUAGCAGUGAAAUGCGUAGAGAUGUGGAGGAAUACCGAUGGCGAAGGCAGCCCCCUGGGCCAAUACUGACGCUCAUGCACGAAAGCGUGGGGAGCAAACAGGAUUAGAUACCCUGGUAGUCCACGCCCUAAACGAUGUCGACUAGUUGUUGGGGAUUCAUUUCCUUAGUAACGUAGCUAACGCGUGAAGUUGACCGCCUGGGGAGUACGGUCGCAAGAUUAAAACUCAAAUGAAUUGAC
Molecule: ribosomal RNA, 566 nt
Filed under: uncultured bacterium
Lineage: Bacteria
Description: partial 16S ribosomal RNA
Rfam family: Bacterial small subunit ribosomal RNA
Source: RNAcentral